Molecule: transfer RNA, 85 nt
Filed under: Felis catus (domestic cat)
Lineage: Eukaryota; Metazoa; Chordata; Mammalia; Carnivora; Felidae
Rfam family: tRNA
About the family: Transfer RNA (tRNA) molecules are approximately 80 nucleotides in length. Their secondary structure includes four short double-helical elements and three loops (D, anti-codon, and T loops).
Source: Rfam by way of RNAcentral
GCCUGGGUGGCUCAGUUGGUGAAGCGUCUGACUUCAGCUCAGGUCACAAUCUCGCGGUUCGCGGGUUCGAGUCCUGUGUCGGGCU